UGGAGCAAUCCAUGAGUAGAGUGGCAAACGGGUGAGUAACACGUGGGUGACCUGCCUUCGAGCGGGGGAUAACGUCCCGAAAGGGACGCUAAUACCGCAUAACAUCCUGCCUUUUAAGAGGUGGAGAUCAAAGCCGGGGAUCGCAAGACCUGGCACUUGAAGAGGGGCCCGCGCCUGAUUAGCUAGUUGGUGGGGUAAUGGCUCACCAAGGCAACGAUCAGUAUCCGGCCUGAGAGGGCGGACGGACACACUGGGACUGAGACACGGCCCAGACUCCUACGGGAGGCAGCAGUGGGGAAUUGUUCGCAAUGGGCGCAAGCCUGACGACGCAACGCCGCGUGGAGGAUGAAGACCUUCGGGUCGUAAACUCCUUUCGAUCGAGACGAAUGGUUUCCGGGUGAACAAUCCGGAGAAAUGACGGUACCGAGAGAAGAAGCCCCGGCUAACUCCGUGCCAGCAGCCGCGGUAAUACGGGGGGGGCAAGCGUUGUUCGGAAUUACUGGGCGUAAAGGGCUCGUAGGUGGCCAACUAAGUCAGACGUGAAAUCCCUCAGCUUAACUGGGGAACUGCGUCUGAUACUGGAUGGCUUGAGUUUGGGAGAGGGAUGCGGAAUUCCAGGUGUAGCGGUGAAAUGCGUAGAUAUCUGGAGGAACACCGGUGGCGAAGGCGGCAUCCUGGACCAAUACUGACACUGAGGAGCGAAAGCCAGGGGAGCAAACGGGAUUAGAUACCCCGGUAGUCCUGGCCCUAAACGAUGAAUGCUUGGUGUGGCGGGUAUCGAUCCCUGCCGUGCCGAAGCUAACGCA
RNAcentral lists this ribosomal RNA (806 nucleotides) under uncultured Pseudomonadota bacterium. RNAcentral's name for it is "bacterial SSU rRNA". It matches the Rfam family "Bacterial small subunit ribosomal RNA", at positions 75 to 859 of the family's 1533-position model. Lineage: Bacteria; Pseudomonadati; Pseudomonadota. The record is from RNAcentral.